GGAGUGUGUGACUUCAGCUACGAGACCUCCCUCGGCCGACUCAGUCAGCGCGAGGGACGUGGGGUUCUAAGAAAAACCUCACUGAUGGAGAAAACCACUGCUGACUCAGAGGCAGGUUUAAUUGUGGUCGUCUUUCACCAUGUUCUGGGCAGCUUGUCAACAAACCACACACGUCAAACAAGGAAGCAAAACCAACUGAAGGGCUCUCAAUCAGCUUUCCAGUGUGCAAAAGCUGAAGGUUAAUGGGGGGAAAAGGCUUACAGGAAGUUCAUUAACAAGGGAUAAACAGACACAAGUGAUCUGGAACCAAACCUCUGAGGCAAUCUCUCUGAGGUAUUCCUGUUUAAGGACUCUGCCCAAUCAUUUGCUGACC
Molecule: long non-coding RNA, 373 nt
Organism: Eubalaena glacialis (North Atlantic right whale)
Lineage: Eukaryota; Metazoa; Chordata; Mammalia; Artiodactyla; Balaenidae
Exons: 3
Source: RefSeq, a predicted model, not a curated record